UAUGGUAGCCAGCCGCCGCGGUAAUACGUAGGGGGCAAGCGUUAUCCGGAUCUACUGGGUGUAAAGGGAGCGUAGACGGAUGGACAAGUCUGAUGUGAAAGGCUGGGGCUCAACCCCGGGACUGCAUUGGAAACUGCCCGUCUUGAGUGCCGGAGAGGUAAGCGGAAUUCCUAGUGUAGCGGUGAAAUGCGUAGAUAUUAGGAGGAACACCAGUGGCGAAGGCGGCUUACUGGACGGUAACUGACGUUGAGGCUCGAAAGCGUGGGGAGCAAACAGG
Molecule: ribosomal RNA, 277 nt
Filed under: Blautia luti
Lineage: Bacteria; Bacillati; Bacillota; Clostridia; Lachnospirales; Lachnospiraceae
Description: partial 16S ribosomal RNA
Rfam family: Bacterial small subunit ribosomal RNA
Source: RNAcentral